GUGGCAGUAGCUCAGCCGUACAGCUCCCGCUUCCUAAGCGGAAAAACCUGGGUUCGAUUCCCGGCUGCUUUC
Toxocara canis (dog roundworm) is the source of this 72-nucleotide transfer RNA. It matches the Rfam family "tRNA". Rfam says of the family: Transfer RNA (tRNA) molecules are approximately 80 nucleotides in length. Their secondary structure includes four short double-helical elements and three loops (D, anti-codon, and T loops). The record is from Rfam. Lineage: Eukaryota; Metazoa; Nematoda; Chromadorea; Rhabditida; Toxocaridae.